Molecule: ribosomal RNA, 832 nt
Filed under: Fusarium proliferatum
Lineage: Eukaryota; Fungi; Ascomycota; Sordariomycetes; Hypocreales; Nectriaceae
Description: eukaryotic LSU rRNA
Rfam family: Eukaryotic large subunit ribosomal RNA
Source: RNAcentral
AUUGCCCUAGUAACGGCGAGUGAAGCGGCAACAGCUCAAAUUUGAAAUCUGGCUCUCGGGCCCGAGUUGUAAUUUGUAGAGGAUACUUUUGAUGCGGUGCCUUCCGAGUUCCCUGGAACGGGACGCCAUAGAGGGUGAGAGCCCCGUCUGGUUGGAUGCCAAAUCUCUGUAAAGUUCCUUCGACGAGUCGAGUAGUUUGGGAAUGCUGCUCUAAAUGGGAGGUAUAUGUCUUCUAAAGCUAAAUACCGGCCAGAGACCGAUAGCGCACAAGUAGAGUGAUCGAAAGAUGAAAAGCACUUUGAAAAGAGAGUUAAAAAGUACGUGAAAUUGUUGAAAGGGAAGCGUUUAUGACCAGACUUGGGCUUGGUUAAUCAUCUGGGGUUCUCCCCAGUGCACUUUUUCCAGUCCAGGCCAGCAUCAGUUUUCCCCGGGGGAUAAAGACUUCGGGAAUGUGGCUCUCUUCGGGGAGUGUUAUAGCCCGUUGUGUAAUACCCUGGGGGGGACUGAGGUUCGCGCAUCUGCAAGGAUGCUGGCGUAAUGGUCAUCAACGACCCGUCUUGAAACACGGACCAAGGAGUCGUCUUCGUAUGCGAGUGUUCGGGUGUCAAACCCCUACGCGUAAUGAAAGUGAACGCAGGUGAGAGCUUCGGCGCAUCAUCGACCGAUCCUGAUGUUCUCGGAUGGAUUUGAGUAAGAGCAUACGGGGCCGGACCCGAAAGAAGGUGAACUAUGCCUGUAUAGGGUGAAGCCAGAGGAAACUCUGGUGGAGGCUCGCAGCGGUUCUGACGUGCAAAUCGAUCGUCAAAUAUGGGCAUGGGGGCGAAAGACUAAU